This is a long non-coding RNA of Lotus japonicus, 3010 nucleotides long. RefSeq lists it as uncharacterized. The transcript is spliced from 2 exons. The record is from RefSeq and is a predicted model, not a curated record. NCBI's taxonomy places the organism in Eukaryota, Viridiplantae, Streptophyta, Magnoliopsida, Fabales, Fabaceae.
GAGCCGAGUCGAGCCGAGCCUCUAACGAGCCAAGCCAUAGGCCCCUGACGAGCCGCCUGGCCUAUUUCCACCCCUACCUUUGGAUCACCGACCUGCGUAGAAUUUAGUACUACAUGAAAUUAUGCUUCCUAAUUCCCAAUUUCUCAUCACUCAUUUCUUUCUUGCAUCCAAUGUGAUCUUUCCGCUCUCCUUUUAUUCCUGAGAUCAACCAUUUCUUUUGUGUCGGCCACCGCUUUGUCCUUCAUUCAUUACUCUGGCCUGACACCGCUAUCUCUCUUUCCCCAUCUUAUCCACUAACCCUAAACUCACAUAAACUCAAAUAGUGUUUUCCACCCACCAUUCGAUUGUCUCCUCUCAUCUUAGCUGACUCUAAGCGUCCCUUUCUUCCGUGUCGGCCACCACUAUGUCCUUUAUUCAUUACUCUGGCACCGACACUUCUAUCUCUCUUUUCCCAUCUUAUCCACUAACCCUAAACCCACAUAAACUUAAAUAGUGUUUUCCGUCCACCAUUCGAUUGUCUCCUCUCAUCUUAGCUGACUUUAAGCGCAACUACAUAGUCUCUCUUCUAAAAAAGUUAUACCAACUUUUAUCAUCAUGACGACAACAACCCUAACCUUCACAAUCCUUCUCCCCUUGGGGACUAAAUCUCCAACGUCUCAGGCUUCAAUUCAGUUUCUCUCAUUUCUAGAUUGCAUCUUCCAAGCACGAAAAUGUAUUUUGUAAGCCAAAGAAUUGUAUUCAACUAGCACAAGGGGUGCUUAACCCGAAUACAAAAGAGAAGAAAAGGAGAAGAUAGAUAAAAUACAGACUAGUAAAAAAGAAACCAUCUAACCCACCAACAAGCAUGCCUAUAACCCUCCCUGUUUCAUAUUACAAAGCCAACUAAACCAAAAAUACCAAACACUAACAGCCAGCAAACUCAUCAAGUGUCCACACGACCAAGACCCUCACAAGCACAGAAUUGGAAUCCAAUGUAGCAACAACAUUCGUAGGCCUUUCCACCCAAUUACCUAGCAUUUUUACAGCAACCUCACGUUAGAGAUGGCCCCAACAUGAGAUGGAGAUGAAUUGACAGCGGUCCUACAGAGAAGAGAGGCACUCCAAAGGACAAGAUUUCCACUCAUAAAGAGAAUAAGUAAACCCGCAGAAUUUCGCUUUGAGCCAGUGCCAGGAACGAGAUUGAAUCAGAUCAAGGAGGUAGCUAUGGUCCAAGGCAUUGUUCCUGAAAAUAAUAGAAUUCCGCUGUAUCCAAAGCGACCAAACAGUAGCUAUCCAGAUAGCUAGUUCCCCAAGACGCUGAUUUUUAUUCCUUGCUGUGAUUGAAAACUGGGCAAAAUUGGCCAGAGUUGAAGCCGGUAAAGCCACAGAUAUCCCCAACCAGCGAUGCAGUGCUUGCCACACGCCCAUAGAGAAUACGCAAGUGAAGAAAAGAUGACCGCUACACUCCUCCACCGUAGUGCAAAACGGACAAGUCAAAUCAUCCGGGUUGAAAAGUACUUGCCGACGUCUUAAGUUGUCCCUUGUUUGAAUCCGAUUCAGCAUCAACCGCCACACAAAAGCCCUCACGUUAGAAGGUGCGGGCGCUGACCAGAUUUGUUUAAAGUCACACGCCGGAGUCUCCAGAUGAUUUACCUGCAAAACAGAGUAAGUUGUGUUAACAGAAUAAAUCCCUCCAUCCCCUGGCUCCCACACCCACUUAUCACCCCUCCCCUCUAUCACCCUCCCACAAUUUAUGACUAACUCCAGGUCCUGCAGCCAAGAUAAUUCUCAUCCUCUCAAACAGCGACGCCACUCAAACCUCCACUUCCAGACACCACCCUCCCAAAAACCAAGCUCCUUUAUGCUGCUGUAUUUAUUUAUUGACAAAUUAUACAGCCGGCGAAACCUUGCGGAUAAUAACCCUGAACCAAGCCAAUCCUCAGACCAGAACUUUGUUUGAUCUCCCUCCCCAACCAGCUUUUUCAACCCCGAAGAGAACCAACCAUCAGCAUCUUCCGGACACAAGGACAGAAUGUCAUUCCACCAAGAAGAACCACAAGAAUAGUGAUCAGGUUGAGCUUCAAUUACCCUCCUCCAAAGACUGUCAGGUUCCGUCAAAUACCGCCAUCUCCAUUUCCCAAGCAAGGCUUUGUUAAAAGUAAAAAGAUCCUUGAUCCCCAAACCCCCAAGCUCUUUGGGCUUACAGACGUCCGUCCAUUUCACCUAGGCAAUUUUGUUUUCAUUUUCAGAGCCUCCCCAUAAAAAAUUGCGCAUCAAGCGGACACAGCUUUUGCCAACCCCUAUCGGCAGCUUGAAAAAAGAAAGGAAAAACAGGGGUAAGGCAGUUAGCACGCUUUGUAUUAGGAAAAUCCUACCUCCAAAAGACACUGUUUUUUGCUUCCAUUUAGACAACUUUUUCCUGAUUUUAGCAAUUACUGGUUCCCAUAGCUGUGCUCCUCUCGGUUUCCCACCAACUGGAAUACCCAAGUAUACAAAAGGGAUAGUCAUCAAUUUACAAUUUAACACAGCAGCAAACCUGGCUAAGUUAUUACCCUCCACAGCUAUCCCUGCUAAUCGACUUUUGUGGAAAUUUACUUUCAGACCUGAUGCCAAUUCGAAGCACCUCAGCACACAUUUUACUGUCGCAAUAUUACUCAUAGAUGCCUCUCCCAGAAACACAAUGUCGUCAGCAAACUGUAACAUUGAAAUUUCCAAAGCAUUAUUAUUUCCAAACUUGAAACCCACAUAGCUGCCAUUACUCACUGCUUGGAAAAAUAAUCUGUUAAGUCCUUCCGCGACAAUCAAGAACAAAAAAGGAGCUAAAGGAUCCCCUUGUCGCAACCCUUUCUCCAUAUUAAAUUCCUCGCCUAGGCUUCCGUUCACCAACACAGAUACAGUAGCUGAGCAUAAACAACUUUUGAUCCAAUUAAUCCACUUUCUGCAAAAGUUGAUGCAUCUUAUAUGUGACAUGUCCUUCAUGGUGUAACUACACCGAUUUUCCUUGAAAUUGUUAUUUUUUGUCUUCAUUUCA